AGAAUCAACGCUGGCGGCGUGCCUAACACAUGCAAGUCGCACGAGAAAGGGGAGCAAUCCCUGAGUAAAGUGGCGCACGGGUGAGUAACACGUGAAUGAUCUACCUCCGAGUGGGGAAUAACUGAGAGAAAUCUUAGCUAAUACCGCAUAACACUUACGAGUCAAAGCAGCGAAUGCGCUUGGAGAGGAGUUCGCGGCCGAUUAGCUAGUUGCGGGGUAAUGGCCCACCAAGGCGAUGAUCGGUA
This 245-nucleotide ribosomal RNA is filed under the name uncultured bacterium. RNAcentral's name for it is "partial small subunit ribosomal RNA". It matches the Rfam family "Bacterial small subunit ribosomal RNA", at positions 26 to 285 of the family's 1533-position model. The record is from RNAcentral.